UUUAGGAGCUAUACUUGCUAAUUGUACGUUGAUCAUACCUCCUUUCAAUCAGCUGAAGGACAAUAUAUUUUUAGUAGUCAAUCUCUCACAGGAAUAUUCUAUUAGCAGGCUUGUGGCAGUUCCAUCUUUUAUAAGGGCGAUUCUUCCUGCUUUGCAUAGCAUGCAUUAUCCUACAGCUCAGAUCUCCUUAAAACUUCUAGUGCUAAGUGGUGAAAUUUUUGA
RNAcentral lists this unclassified non-coding RNA (222 nucleotides) under Hevea brasiliensis (rubber tree). Lineage: Eukaryota; Viridiplantae; Streptophyta; Magnoliopsida; Malpighiales; Euphorbiaceae. The record is from RNAcentral.